UACGAAGGGGGCUAGCGUUGCUCGGAAUCACUGGGCGUAAAGCGCACGUAGGCGGAUUGUUAAGUCAGGGGUGAAAUCCUGGAGCUCAACUCCAGAACUGCCUUUGAUACUGGCGAUCUUGAGUUCGGGAGAGGUGAGUGGAACUGCGAGUGUAGAGGUGAAAUUCGUAGAUAUUCGCAAGAACACCAGUGGCGAAGGCGGCUCACUGGCCCGGAACUGACGCUGAGACGCGAAAGCGUGGGGAGCAAACAGG
Molecule: ribosomal RNA, 253 nt
Filed under: uncultured bacterium
Lineage: Bacteria
Description: partial 16S ribosomal RNA
Rfam family: Bacterial small subunit ribosomal RNA
Source: RNAcentral